RNAcentral lists this ribosomal RNA (196 nucleotides) under uncultured bacterium. RNAcentral describes it as "partial 16S ribosomal RNA". It matches the Rfam family "Bacterial small subunit ribosomal RNA", at positions 328 to 539 of the family's 1533-position model. The record is from RNAcentral.
ACGCUCGACACCUACGGAGGCAGCAGUGGGGAAUAUUGCACAAUGGGGGAAACCCUGAUGCAGCGACGCCGCGUGAGUGAAGAAGUAUUUCGGUAUGUAAAGCUCUAUCAGCAGGGAANAAAAUGACGGUACCUGACUAAGAAGCCCCGGCUAACUACGUGCUAGCAGCCGCGGUAAUCUGAGCGGCUGGCAAGGC